Molecule: long non-coding RNA, 545 nt
Organism: Saccostrea cuccullata (small rock oyster)
Lineage: Eukaryota; Metazoa; Mollusca; Bivalvia; Ostreida; Ostreidae
Exons: 3
Source: RefSeq, a predicted model, not a curated record
AGAACAGAGGAAGGAAAGAUUUGCACAAUAGAAUCCUGUCACACUAGACGUUCCCUUACGAAGUGAGACACAACUUUGGAUGUCUUCAUCGGGUGCGGCAUUUUGUGGUAAUGGUAUAGUAUAGUCGGGGGAGCAGUGUGAUUGCAGAUAUAAGGAUGAGUGUACAGACAGGUGCUGCCACCCUCGGAGCAGAGACCCAAACGACAAACUGAUGUGUACAUACAGAGAUCCGUCAUUUAAAUGCAGUCCAACAGAAGGCCCGUGUUGUACUGAGAGUUGUAAUUAUAAACCAGUUAAUACCUUUACCUGUCUUGUAUUCUUUGUAGUCCAACAGAAGACCCAUGUUGUACUGAGAGUUGUAAUUAUAAACCAGCUAAUACCUCUACCUGUCUUGUAUUCUUUGUAGUCCAACAGAAGACCCAUGUUGUACUGAGAGUUGUAAUUGUAAACCAGCUAAUACCUCUACCUGUCUUGUAUUCUUUGUAGUCCAACAGAAGACCCAUGUUGUACUGAGAGUUGUAAUUAUAAACCAGCUAAUACCUCUA